Molecule: ribosomal RNA, 446 nt
Filed under: uncultured bacterium
Lineage: Bacteria
Description: partial 16S ribosomal RNA
Rfam family: Bacterial small subunit ribosomal RNA
Source: RNAcentral
GUGAGGAAUAUUGGUCAAUGGGCGGAAGCCUGAACCAGCCAUCCCGCGUGGAGGAAGACGGCCCUAUGGGUUGUAAACUUCUUUUCAAGGGGAAGAAAGUUCGCGACGUGUCGCGAUUUGCCGGUACCUUUGGAAUAAGCAUCGGCUAACUCCGUGCCAGCAGCCGCGGUAAUACGGAGGAUGCGAGCGUUAUCCGGAUUUAUUGGGUUUAAAGGGUGCGUAGGCCGAUCGAUAAGUCAGCGGUGACAUAACAUGGCCCAACCAUGGAACUGCCGUUGAUACUGUCGGUCUUGAAUAUGGUCAAGGUAGGCGGAAUGUGUAAUGUAGCGGUGAAAUGCUUAGAUAUUACGCAGAACACCGAUUGCGAAGGCAGCUUACUGGACCGGUUACUGACGCUGAGGCACGAAAGCGUGGGUAUCAAACAGGAUUAGAAACCCGUGUAGUCC